GGAGUCGGCCAGGCAGUCGCGUCAUCCCGGCCCUUCGGGGCGGCGGAUGCCGAGGAAAGUCCGGGCUCCACAGGGCACGGUGCCAGGUAAUGCCUGGGCGGCGCGAGCCGACGGAAAGUGCAACAGAAAGCAGACCGCCGAUGGCCCGCAAGGGAUCAGGCAAGGGUGAAACGGUGCGGUAAGAGCGCACCGCGAGUCCGGCAACGGACCGGCACGGCAAACCCCACCGGGAGCAAGGCCAAAUAGGGACCUCAUGACGUGGCCCGCGUCGGGUCCGGGUAGGCUGCUCGAGCGUAGCGGUGACGCUGCGCCUAGAGGAAUGACUGUCCACGACAGAACCCGGCUUAUCGGCCGGCUCCGCCA
RNAcentral lists this RNase P RNA (363 nucleotides) under Luteimonas endophytica. Its description in RNAcentral is "Luteimonas sp. RD2P54 RNase P RNA component class A". It matches the Rfam family "Bacterial RNase P class A". Rfam says of the family: Ribonuclease P (RNase P) is a ubiquitous endoribonuclease, found in archaea, bacteria and eukarya as well as chloroplasts and mitochondria. Lineage: Bacteria; Pseudomonadati; Pseudomonadota; Gammaproteobacteria; Lysobacterales; Lysobacteraceae. The record is from RNAcentral.